This 853-nucleotide long non-coding RNA is filed under the name Marmota monax (woodchuck). The record is from RNAcentral. Lineage: Eukaryota; Metazoa; Chordata; Mammalia; Rodentia; Sciuridae.
UAGAGUUCAGGGAUUAUGACUUAUUAAUUUAUGUAUUUCCAACACGUAGUCAAUGGAGGGUGUGGGAAGAGAAAGAAGAAGGAACUCACUUUGAUUGAAUAUCUAUUAUAUACCAGAUAUUGUAUCAGAUGCCUUUGAAAUGUUCUUUUUUAUUCUAACAAAUAAAAUUAAUUCUAGGUACUGUGAUUUCCAUUUUACUGACAAAGAAACUGAGGCUCAAAGUGGUGGAGGAACUUUUCUAAGGUUGUUCAGUUAUGAAGUGACUGAAUUGGAAAUGUGUGUCUGGCUGUAAAAAACACCCUUCUCUUUUGCACUGUAGCCUCAAUUUAGUUUUAGUGAAUGAAUGGAGGUUUUAGUCAACAGUGAAGAUGGAUUGCCACUGAGCUGCCUGGUAGGGGAGAAGGAAGUUGGCUUUCUUCUGUCCCCUGGAGUGAAGUUUUUAGUAAUCUAGUGGUUUAUAAAAUGUAAACUGUCCCUGGAUAAGCAUCCCAUUAAAAGGAUAUUUUGGAUAAUAUUAGGCAAUUCAUAUAUUCAUCAUAUAUCUGAUAGAUGUUUUUAUUGGUAAUUUGACAUAUUCAUACCUUACAAUAGUACUGGACAGCGUCUAACUUCCUUAAGGAUUAAAAACAGCUUAAUUCUCUGAGAUGAGGAAAACUAUAUCCCUAUGAUGACAUUAAAUAAUGAGGAAGACCAAUUACAGGAAAAAUUUUGUAAAAGAAAACAUUUUGACCAUCCUUACAUUUCAAAUUUCAUGUUUGAACUUUUCCAUUUAGAAGGUACUGGUGACUCUGGUCAAAACUUGGAAGGAUCUGUGGGAGUUACCUUAAAGAAACAUCUAUAAUAUAUUUCUGCU